This 165-nucleotide ribosomal RNA is filed under the name uncultured bacterium. RNAcentral's name for it is "partial 16S rRNA". It matches the Rfam family "Bacterial small subunit ribosomal RNA", at positions 355 to 511 of the family's 1533-position model. The record is from RNAcentral.
UAGGGAAUCUUCCACAAUGGGCGCAAGCCUGAUGGAGCAACGCCGCGUGAGUGAAGAAGGUUUUCGGAUCGUAAAGCUCUGUUGUAAGAGAAGAACGUGUGUGAGAGUGGAAAGUUCACACAGUGACGGUAACUUACCAGAAAGGGACGGCUAACUACGUGUCAG